RNAcentral lists this ribosomal RNA (200 nucleotides) under uncultured bacterium. RNAcentral's name for it is "partial 16S ribosomal RNA". It matches the Rfam family "Bacterial small subunit ribosomal RNA", at positions 326 to 539 of the family's 1533-position model. The record is from RNAcentral.
ACGCUCGACACCUACGGGAAGCAGCAGUGGGGAAUAUUGCACAAUGGGGGAAACCCUGAUGCAGCGACGCCGCGUGGAGGAAGAAGGUCUUCGGAUUGUAAACUCCUGUUGUUGGGGAAAAAGAGGAUGGUACCCAACAAGGAAGUGACGGCUAACUACGUGCCAGCAGCCGCGGUAAUCUGAGGCGGGCUGGACAAGGC